This is a long non-coding RNA of Papaver somniferum (opium poppy), 581 nucleotides long. RefSeq lists it as uncharacterized. The record is from RefSeq and is a predicted model, not a curated record. Lineage: Eukaryota; Viridiplantae; Streptophyta; Magnoliopsida; Ranunculales; Papaveraceae. The transcript has 3 exons.
UCGAAAAAAUUAUUUCUCAUUUCUUUUCUUCUUCUUUCUUCUUCUGCUUCUCCUCUGUUUCUCUUCUAGUUGAUUUUAGGAGAUGAAUUAUACUUCUGAGAUCGAGAUAAGAAGAGUCUGGUCAUGAAUCAGGUGAUGAUGGAAGUGAUAUUGUUGUUUGAGUUUAGGAGGAAGCUGAAUCAAGAAGUCAGUGAGUUAGGGUUUGAUAAGGAAUUGAGAGGUGAAUUGAUUCGUUAAUGGAUGAAGAUUGAUUGGGUUGUUGAUUAAUUGAUGAGAUGAAGCAGUUCUGCUGAUGAAUCAAACUGAAAAGUUACUCUUUAUUAACACCGAUCGAUUCAAAGGAUGAACCAGUAGAUUGAGGAUCUCGAGGUAGGCGUGGCUUAUCAUCAAAUCAGUUUUCAGUAACCAGAAGAAAAGGUGCGUUCGAAGAUAACUGUUUCGUAGCUUAAAUCUUUUAUCGUAUUAGAGAUGUUGCGUGUCUUUUGUUUAUGUAUACUUUUGGUAAUUUGUAAAACAACACAUUAUUAUAUUCAUAUCACUCGGGAGAUCUUCAUUUAUGUAAUAUCAGAGUGUAUGGGUUU